This is a non-coding RNA of Cicer arietinum (chickpea), 2854 nucleotides long. The record is from RefSeq and is a predicted model, not a curated record. NCBI's taxonomy places the organism in Eukaryota, Viridiplantae, Streptophyta, Magnoliopsida, Fabales, Fabaceae.
CUUAAUUCCAUCAUUAAUACGACACAUCUUCUUUGAGAAAAUUAAAAUUUCCAUGACAAUUUGAUGGAAACAAAAUCUUCACUUUCGAUGACAAUUUGAUCAUUAAUUUUAAAAUUUCAUUUUUCAAAACCCAUCAAUGGAUCAUGGAUAUAUGAAGUCCAAAACUUCUCUUUUUUCUCUCUUAAAUUCAUCACCAUCUUCUUCCUUUUCUUCUUCUUGCACCGCUGAAAAUGCUACUAACUCCUUAACUCCGGUUCGAACCGGGUCCAAGUUUUCACAUGAAGCUAGACAAUGUCGCCACGUGGCAGAAAAUGAAGCAAUUCAAAACAUGGGAAUGGGAUUCAUCAAUGACAUUGUUGGUCACGGUGAAAUAAUGAAGUGGAAGGAUGUUGAGAAGCGGUUCGACCAAGUGGCUUGGACCGGUAAUGAUCCUGAACCGGUUGUAACAUGGUCCGAAUUUGGCUUUUGCAUUGGGAUAGGGAUGCAAUCAUCACCGGAGUUGGCAAGAGAAUUGCUAAGAGCAUUAAGGGGUUGCAAGGAAUGGAAAUCAGAUAUCACAAAAACUGAACUUCACAAUUUUUGGUCUCGGAUGAAUGAUGAUUCUUUUAACUCGAGAAUGCGAAUGUUCUUUGAUAUGUGUAAUAGAAACAUGGAUGGAAGAAUUACCGAGACAGAUAUAAAGCAGACAAUUUUAUUAACCGCUUCGAUAAAUAAGCUAUCGGUGACACGUGAUGAAGCAGAGGAUUAUGCCGCUUUGAUAAUGGAAUCUGUGGACAACAAAAAUAAAGGCUACAUUGAGAUAUCUGAAAUGGAGGUUCUAUUCAAGACAAGUCUAUCAAAGGCGAAUUCUCCAAUGAAACAAGGGAGCACACAGAAGCAGAGUGAGGAAUGUGAAGAAGAAGAAGAACCAAUGACAAAAGCGGAAGUGUUGUUUAGAACCUAUUGGCGACGUGGUUGGGUUGUUGUGGUUUGGUUGGUUGGUUGUUUUGGUUUGUUUGGUUGGAAAUUUGAUCAGUACCGUAAGAGAUCAGGGUUUGAAGUAAUGGGUUAUUGUCUUCCCACAGCUAAAGGUGCAGCUGAAACAUUGAAACUUAAUAUGGCUCUUAUUCUUCUUCCUGUUUGUAGAAAUACAAUUACUUGGCUCCGCAAGGAUCCUCGUCUUAACUAUGUCAUUCCUUUUAAUGACAAUAUUAACUUUCAUAAGCUUAUUGCUGGAGGAAUAGUGGUGGGUGUAAUAUUACAUGGAGGGACACACCUUACCUGUGAUUUUCCAAGAAUAAGUGAUUCAGACAAAUCAAUUUUCCGGCAAACUAUCGCAGCAGGAUUUGGCUACCAUCAACCAACUUACAUGGAAAUUUUGGCCACAACAGAGGUAGCAAGUGGAAUUGGCAUGGUCAUUUUAAUGGCCAUUGCAUUUUCACUAGCAACAAAGUGGCCAAGGCGUCGAUCGCCUGUGCUUCCCUUGUCCCUCAGAAGGGUCACUGGUUACAACACCUUUUGGUAUUCUCACCAUUUGUUUGUCUUUGUGUAUGUUUUGCUCAUUGUUCACUCCAUGUUCUUGUUCCUCACCGACAAGUGGAUCGAGAAAACAACAUGGAUGUACAUUGCAUUUCCAGUUUUAUUGUAUGCUGGCGAGAGGAUCUUUCGCGCCAUUAGAUCAGGAUCUUAUCAAGUUGAUGUUAUGAAGGCAAGUCUCUAUCCAGGAAAAGUUCUGUACCUCAAAAUACAAAAACCAGAAGGUUUUAAGUACAGAAGUGGCAUGUAUAUAUUCAUUCAGUGCCCCCAAAUUUCUACCUUUCAAUGGCAUCCAUUUUCCUUGACAUCAGGACCACAAGAUGAGUACCUCAGUGUGCACAUUAGAACUCUUGGUGACUGGAGCUACCAAAUAUAUGAUCUAUUCCAAGAGGCAGUGUUGUCUGGAUUACAAGGGUGUCCAAAACUGUACAUAGAUGGCCCUUAUGGUUCUUCUUGUCAAGACCAUGUAAAGUAUGACAUUCUGGUACUUAUUGGCCUUGGCAUAGGAGCAACACCUUUCAUUAGCAUCCUCAAAGAUAUUGCUAAUGGUGUCCACACAUCACAAAGUGAUAAUAGAAUGCAACUUAAGAAAGGGUCCAUCAAAAGCCUAUUUAUAUUGGGUUACAAGAGAACAAAACUCCUUUGAUUGGUUUAGAGACGUAAUGAAAGAAAUAGCUAAUUCAACCAAACAGCAGUCUGUUGUAGAGAUGCAUAAUUUCCUGACCAGUGUAUAUCCUGAGGGAGAUGUUCGUUCGGCUUUGCUAAGUGUCAUUCAGGCCUUACAUCAGGCCAAGAAUGGCGUAGACAUAGUUUCCAGGACUCCUAUACACACACAUUUUUCUCGACCAAAUUGGUUCAACAUAUUUUCCAGAUUGACUCGCAAGCAUGUAGGAGCAAAGAUCGGAGUUUUUUAUUGUGGACCAUCUAACUUAGCAACAGAAUUGAAGAAUUUGUGCACCAAAUUUUCCACAAAAACUACAACUAGAUUUGUUUUCCACAAGGAAAAUUAUUAAACUAGCUUCUGAAGGAAUGACAACUGUUGUAACAAUUCCUUAAUUAGGAAACCGUAGUUACCUUCAGAAUCUUGAGCAAUUUCCUUCUGUUUGGCCACAGAAUCUGUAAAUAUAUAUAUGCGCCGUUCAGCAACCGAAAAAUGAAAGAAUAUACAACUAUACAGCAAUAAUAGUCCUUUUUCAUUGAUCGUUGUAACUUGUAAUUUUGGGUGUUCAUGCAUUCUAGUUUGGUAUUUCACGUACACCUGAGGCUGCAAAUCAAACUUUCAAAAUAAAUACUAUAAACAAUGAAUAUCUAGAAAUGUAUAAUCCAUUAUUCCUUUGAA